Molecule: ribosomal RNA, 301 nt
Filed under: uncultured bacterium
Lineage: Bacteria
Description: partial 16S ribosomal RNA
Rfam family: Bacterial small subunit ribosomal RNA
Source: RNAcentral
CAGCAGCCCGGUAAUACGGAGGGAGCUAGCGUUGUUCGGAAUUACUGGGCGUAAAGCGCGCGUAGGCGGUUACUCAAGUCAGAGGUGAAAGCCCGGGGCUCAACCCCGGAACUGCCUUUGAAACUAGGUGACUAGAAUCUUGGAGAGGUCAGUGGAAUUCCGAGUGUAGAGGUGAAAUUCGUAGAUAUUCGGAAGAACACCAGUGGCGAAGGCGACUGACUGGACAAGUAUUGACGCUGAGGUGCGAAAGCGUGGGGAGCAAACAGGAUUAGAUACCCCUGUAGUCCCUGUCUCUUAUACA